AUGGGCACUCCACAGAAGGAUGUUAUUAUCAAGUGAGAUGCACCCAGCACCCUAUUAUUGGAGAAACAUGCAGAUUAUAUUGCAUCCUAUGGCUCAAAGAAAGAUGAUUAUGAAUACUGCAUGCCUAAGUAUUUAGGAAUGAGUGGUAUCUAUUGGGGUCUGACAGUAAUGAAUCUCAUGGGACAACUUCAUCACGUGAAUAGAGAAGAAAUUCUGACAUUUAUUAAGUCAUGCCAACAUGAGUGUGGUGGAAUAAGCACUAGUAUCAGACAUGAUCCUCAUCUUUUAUACACUCUUAGUGCUGUCCAGAUUCUUACUCUGUAUGAUAGUAUUAAUGUUAUUGACAUAAACAAAGUUGUGGAAUAUGUUCAAAGUCUACAGAAAGAAGAUCGUUCUUUUGCUGGAGACAUUUGGGGAGAAAUUGAUACAAGAUUCUCCUUUUGUGCAGUGGCAACUUUGGCUCUAUUGGGGAAGCUUGAUGCCAUUAAUGUGGAAAAGGCAAUUGAAUUUGUUUUAUCCUGUAUGAACUUUGAUGAUGGAUUUGGUUGCAGACCAGGUUCUGAAUCCCAUGCUGGGCAGAUCUAUUGUUGCACAGGAUUCCUGGCUAUUACCAGUCAGUUGCAUCAAGUAAAUUCUGAUUUACUUGGUUGGUGGCUUUGUGAACGACAGUUACCCUCAGGUGGACUCAAUGGAAGGCCAGAGAAGUUACCAGAUGUAUGUUAUUCAUGGUGGGUGUUGGCCUCCCUAAAGAUAAUUGGAAGGCUUCAUUGGAUUGACAGAGAGAAAUUGCACAAUUUCAUCUUAGCAUGUCAAGAUGAAGAAAUGGGGGGAUUUGCAGACAGGCCAGGAGAUAUGGUAGAUCCUUUUCAUACAUUAUCUGGAAUUGCUGGAUUGUCACUUUUGGCAGAAGAACAGAUUAAACCUGUUAGUCCUGUUUUUUGCAUGCCUGAAGAAGUGCUUCGGAGGAUGAAUGUUCAGCCUGAGCUAGAACAGCAUCAUGAAUCUGCAGAGAAGCAGCGCGAGACAAGCAGCGCUGGAAAAAAAAAAUGA
Molecule: RNA transcript, 1050 nt
Organism: Propithecus coquereli (Coquerel's sifaka)
Lineage: Eukaryota; Metazoa; Chordata; Mammalia; Primates; Indriidae
Gene name: geranylgeranyl transferase type-2 subunit beta pseudogene
Exons: 2
Source: RefSeq, a predicted model, not a curated record